RNAcentral lists this ribosomal RNA (301 nucleotides) under uncultured bacterium. RNAcentral's name for it is "partial 16S ribosomal RNA". It matches the Rfam family "Bacterial small subunit ribosomal RNA", at positions 509 to 807 of the family's 1533-position model. The record is from RNAcentral.
CAGUCGCCGCGGGAAUACGAAGGGGCCUAGCGUUGUUCGGAUUUACUGGGCGUAAAGCGCACGUAGGCGGAUCCUUAAGUCAGAGGUGAAAUCCCAAGGCUCAACCUUGGAACUGCCUUUGAUACUGGGGAUCUCGAGUCCGGGAGAGGUGAGUGGAACUGCGAGUGUAGAGGUGAAAUUCGUAGAUAUUCGCAAGAACACCAGAGGCGAAGGCGGCCCACUGGCCCGGUACUGACGCUGAGGUGCGAAAGCGUGGGGAGCAAACAGGAUUAGAUACCCCAGUAGUCCCUGUCUCUUAUAC